RNAcentral lists this ribosomal RNA (437 nucleotides) under uncultured bacterium. RNAcentral's name for it is "bacterial SSU rRNA". It matches the Rfam family "Bacterial small subunit ribosomal RNA", at positions 376 to 803 of the family's 1533-position model. The record is from RNAcentral.
CGAAAGGGUGACGAAGCGACGCCGCGUGUGGGAAGAAGGCCUUCGGGUUGUAAACCACUGUUGGGGGUUAGGAAGUGUGGAGGUGUUAAUAGCGCUUUCACUUGACUAAAGCUCCAGAGGAAGCCACGGCUAACUCUGUGCCAGCAGCCGCGGUAAUACAGAGGCGGCAAGCGUUGUUCGGAAUUAUUGGGCGUAAAGAGCACGUAGGCGGCUCUGCAAGUCAGCUGUGAAAGCCUUCUGCUUAACGGAAGAACGGCAGUUGAAACUACAGGGCUUGAGUGCGGGAGGGGAGAGUGGAACUUCUGGUGGAGCGGUGAAAUGCGUAGAUAUCAGAAGGAACGCCGGCGGCGAAAGCGGCUCUCUGGUCCGUAACUGACGCUGAGUGUGCGAAAGCUAGGGGAGCAAACGGGAUUAGAUACCCCGGUAGUCCUAGCCGU